This 391-nucleotide ribosomal RNA is filed under the name Labyrinthuloides sp. Its description in RNAcentral is "partial small subunit ribosomal RNA". It matches the Rfam family "Eukaryotic small subunit ribosomal RNA", at positions 582 to 975 of the family's 1831-position model. Lineage: Eukaryota; Bigyra; Thraustochytrida; Thraustochytriidae. The record is from RNAcentral.
AUUCCAGCUCCAAUAGCGUAUAUUAAAGUUGUUGCAGUUAAAAAGCUCGUAGUUGGAUUUCUGGUAGGAGCGACCGUGCCGAACUUGAUUGUUCGUGUAUUGUGUUGUCUUCAGCCAUCCUCGUGGAGAACUUUUCUAACAUUAACUUGUUGGGAUUGGGACCCGCGUCGUUUACUGUGAAAAAAUUAGAGUGUUUAAAGCAGGCAUUAGCUUGAAUACAUUAGCAUGGAAUAAUAAGAUAGGACUUUGGUACUAUUUUGUUGGUUUGCAUACCAAAUUAAUGAUCAAUAGGGCCAGUUGGGGGCAUUAGUAUUCAGUAGUCAGAGGUGAAAUUCUUGGAUUUACUGAAGACUAGCUAGUGCGAAAGCAUUUGCCAAGAAUGUUUUCAUCG